This 314-nucleotide ribosomal RNA is filed under the name uncultured soil bacterium. Its description in RNAcentral is "bacterial SSU rRNA". It matches the Rfam family "Bacterial small subunit ribosomal RNA", at positions 26 to 364 of the family's 1533-position model. The record is from RNAcentral.
AGAACGAACGCUGGCGGCAUGCCUAACACAUGCAAGUCGAACGAGACCUUCGGGUCUAGUGGCGCACGGGUGCGUAACGCGUGGGAAUCUGCCCUUGGGUUCGGAAUAACAGCGAGAAAUUGCUGCUAAUACCGGAUGAUGACGUAAGUCCAAAGAUUUAUCGCCCAAGGAUGAGCCCGCGUAGGAUUAGCUUGUUGGUGAGGUAAGAGCUCACCAAGGCGACGAUCCUUAGCUGGUCUGAGAGGAUGAUCAGCCACACUGGGACUGAGACCACGGCCCAGACCUCCGUACGGGAGGCAGCGAGUGGGGAAUUA